This 482-nucleotide ribosomal RNA is filed under the name uncultured bacterium. RNAcentral describes it as "partial 16S ribosomal RNA". It matches the Rfam family "Bacterial small subunit ribosomal RNA", at positions 29 to 507 of the family's 1533-position model. The record is from RNAcentral.
AUUGAACGCUGGCGGCAUGCUUUACACAUGCAAGUCGAACGGCAGCGCGGGGCAACCUGGCGGCGAGUGGCGCACGGGUGAGUAAUAUAUCGGAACGUACCCAGAAGUGGGGGAUAACGUAGCGAAAGUUACGCUAAUACCGCAUACGAUCUACGGAUGAAAGUAGGGGACCGCAAGGCCUUAUGCUUUUGGAGCGGCCGAUAUCUGAUUAGCUAGUUGGUGAGGUAAAGGCUCACCAAGGCGACGAUCAGUAGCUGGUCUGAGAGGACGACCAGCCACAAUGGAAAUGAAACAAGGUCCAGACUCCUAAGGGAAGCAGCAAGGGGGAAUUUUGGAAAAUGGGCGGAAGGCUGAUCCAGGAAAGCCGGGUGAGUGAAGAAGGGCUUCGGGUUUUAAAACUCUUUUGGCAGGGAAGAAACGGUAAGGGCUAAAAACCCUUGCUAAUGAAGGUACCUUAAGAAUAAGCACCGGCUAACUACGUG